RNAcentral lists this ribosomal RNA (505 nucleotides) under uncultured bacterium. Its description in RNAcentral is "bacterial SSU rRNA". It matches the Rfam family "Bacterial small subunit ribosomal RNA", at positions 35 to 518 of the family's 1533-position model. The record is from RNAcentral.
GCUGGUAGCGUGGAUUAGGCAUGCAAGUCGAACGGGAUCCGGGAGGUAGCAAUACGUCCUGGUGAGAGUGGCGGAUUGGGGAGGAACACGUGAGCAACCUGCCUUGGAGUCGGGGAAAACCGUUGGAAACGACGGCUAAUACCGGAUGUGGCGCCUGGCGACAUCGCCGGAGCGCUAAAGGGGGCCGCAAGGCUCUCGCUCCUAGAGGGGCUCGCGCACCAUCAGCUUGUUGGCGGGGUAACGGCCCACCAAGGCCUACGGUUAGCUGGUCUGAGAGGAUGACCAGCCCCACUGGGACUGAGAUACUGCCCAGACUCCUACGGGAGGCUGCAGUCGAGGAUCAUUUGCAAUGGGCGAAAGCCUGACAAUGCGACGCUGCGUGGAAGGAUGAAGGCCUUCGGGUUGUAAACUCCUGUCAUGGGGGAACAGGCGAGGGGACCCAAUACGUCCCUUAGUUGAGUGUACCCCAAGAGGAAUUGGCGGCUAACUCUGUGCCAGCAGCCGC